Molecule: long non-coding RNA, 1191 nt
Filed under: Junco hyemalis (dark-eyed junco)
Lineage: Eukaryota; Metazoa; Chordata; Aves; Passeriformes; Passerellidae
Description: lncRNA (ENSJHYG00000013837.1)
Source: RNAcentral
CUGCCCCUGGAUCCCUGGCAGUGCCCAAGGCCAGGCUGGACAUUGGGGCUUGGGGCACCCUGGGACAGUGGAAGGUGUCCCUGCCAUGGCAGGGGUGAGAUGGGAUGGGCUUUGUGCUCCCUUCCUGCUCAAACCCUUCUGGGAUUCUAUCGAGCCUGAGUAGCCCCAGCUCUUACUGGGCUGGCUGCAGCCCAGCUGUGGGAUGAGCUGGGGGGAAGGCUGAGCUGUCCGAGGAGCUGGGUGUGCUCGGAGCAGCGCUGGCACUGCCUGCACAGCCGGCACCUGGAGCCUGGCUCUGCCCCAUCCCCAGCCUGGGCUGCUCCCGAGAGGCUCUGGCUGGCCCUGCCUGCCAGGUGGGUACCCCAACACCCCCAUGUUGCCCCCAGCGAUGGCUGAGGAGCUCAGUGAGCUGCUGAGAGAGUUCGACGAGGUCAUGGAGGACUUUGACCGGGGCCCUGCGAGUCAGUACCAGCAGCACCUGGAGGAGCUGAAGAGGAAAGCGGGACAGAGCGUGUAUGACAGUGGCAUCGAUGAGCUGGAGAGUGCCAGCACAUCCCCAGGAAGCAGCCUCAACUCCAGUGAGGAGCACCUCAACAGCCCAGCUGACACGUAUCCCACCAAAGCAAAGCUUGGAGACACGCAGGAGCUGGAGGAGUUCAUCGCAGACCUGGAUAAAGCCUUGGAAGAGAUGUGAGCUGUGCUGUGCAGUCUGGAGAGGAGCAGCCCCAGCCCUGAGUCUCCCUGAUGCUGCCUCUGCCCCCCUGGCUGGGGUGGGGAUGGCUCUGGGGACAGGGACGGGCGGUGGGGACGGAUCCGGCUGCUGGACGAUGGUGACAAGGCCCUGCCAGCGCCAGGAGGGGACAGCCCUGGGCGGGACCUGGCCCUGCCCUGCACGGGUCUGGUGGCUCCAAGGGCUCUGGGGGGGAGCUGGGCUGCUGCUGAAGCCCCCAGAGGAAUUUUGGGGAAGAUCAGCUUGCAGGACAUCAGCGUGACAUCAGUGUCCCCUCCAGGCUGGGAAGCCUGGUUUCUUGGUGGCAUCUGUCACUGCUGACCUUUGCUUUGCAUGGGGAGCCCCAAAUUGGACUCCUCUCUGCUCCCCAAGUACCUUUGCCCCAGCUGCUGCUGUAAAUACUGUAAAAAUAUGUUUUGUGCUGUACAAAUGGUUCUGUGAACAGGAUUUUAAACCUCUGC